RNAcentral lists this ribosomal RNA (454 nucleotides) under uncultured Streptococcus sp. RNAcentral's name for it is "bacterial SSU rRNA". It matches the Rfam family "Bacterial small subunit ribosomal RNA", at positions 930 to 1382 of the family's 1533-position model. Lineage: Bacteria; Bacillati; Bacillota; Bacilli; Lactobacillales; Streptococcaceae. The record is from RNAcentral.
CGGUGGAGCAUGUGGUUUAAGUUCGAAGCAACGCGAAGAACCUUAACCUAGGUCGUUGACAUCCCGAUGCUAUUCUAGAGAUAGAAAGUAACUUCGGUACAUCGGUGACAGGUGGUGCAUGGUUGUCGUCAGCUCGUGUCGUGAGAUGUUGGGUUAAGUCCCGCAACGAGCGCAACCCCUAUUGUUAGUUGCCAUCAUUCAGUUGGGCACUCUAGCGAGACUGCCGGUAAUAAACCGGAGGAAGGUGGGGAUGACGUCAAAUCAUCAUGCCCCUUAUGACCUGGGCUACACACGUGCUACAAUGGUUGGUACAACGAGUUGCGAGUCGGUGACGGCGAGCUAAUCUCUUAAAGCCAAUCUCAGUUCGGAUUGUAGGCUGCAACUCGCCUACAUGAAGUCGGAAUCGCUAGUAAUCGCGGAUCAGCACGCCGCGGUGAAUACGUUCCCGGGCCUU